RNAcentral lists this long non-coding RNA (991 nucleotides) under Brassica napus (rape). Its description in RNAcentral is "long non-coding RNA (BNAP_LNC021677)". Lineage: Eukaryota; Viridiplantae; Streptophyta; Magnoliopsida; Brassicales; Brassicaceae. The record is from RNAcentral.
UGCCGUCAAAAUUUUUUAAGAAAAAAUAAACUCUUUGUCAGGACAAAGUCCAACUGAUAGAAACAUUGCGUAUUACAAAAUUCGUGCCGAGACUUGUACCUUCAUAACAUCUAACAAUCAAAUAUGCCUCACACAAAUCAAAACUCUUUCCGUUUUAAGGAAGUCUUGUCAAUCGCUCAUGUCGUCAAAAUCUUCAAAACUAUUGACACCAUCAGCAUCUUCAUCGUCUGAUUCGUCUCCCUCUUCAUCUGUCUCCAUUGCUUCCUCUGCUCCUGCUCCUCCUUCUUCUUCAUCGCUGUCCUUGUCCUCAUAGAUCACAGGACCUUCAUCUUCUUCUUCUUCUUCAUCCAAGUCGUCCACAAUCGUAUAAAAAUUUCAUCAUUAAACAUUAAAAUCAUAUAAAAAUUUCAAAAUAACAAAAAUUCGGUACUUAAAUAUUAAAUAGUUUAACUAAAAUAAAAAUCAUAACAACGAGUCAUAACCAAUUGAAAAUUUCUAGCGUUUUCAGAAUAGAAACACGAGUUUCCAAAACAUAAACGCAAGUUUUCGCUAAGUUUCGAAACUGAGCUUUUUAAGUAACAAGUUUCAAAUGUGUUUCCGAGAGAUUCAGAAACAUGAAACGGACCUUCAACCGAGUUUCCAUGCAACAUAGAAUAAUACAUACAUUGGCAUGCAUUAAUCAUGUUUUUAUUUAUUAUUGAAAAGAGCAUGGAAUCUAAAUAUUGUGCUUGGACGGAGUGUAAGAGAUGUUGCCUAACAAUUGAAUCUGACUUUGUUAAUUUGGAGAAACAAGGAAGCAAGAUUCCAAAAAGCUAAAUAAAAUUGACUGUUGUACAUAAAAGGCAAGGGUUAUAGUUUUAUUAUAGUAUUAUUAUUGUCUUAUGUAUAUAUGCGAAAAUUGGAGAAGACGACGAGUGAUAAAGAGGAUAGAUAUAUAUUUAGUAUGGGUGUGUGAAAUGAACGUAGAAAGAGAGAUGAAACUAUAAUUCUU